AAAAAAGUUGACAAUAUCACAAAUUCAUCAAAAUAACACCUUACAUUACAUUUGACAGUUUAGUCACUUAGCAGACAUUCUCAUCCAGAGCGACUUACAGUUGGAGCAUUCAUCUUAAAAUAGCAAGGUGAGACAACCACACAUCACAGUCAUAGGAAAUUCUCAGCAACAAAAGAGUAAUCAAAUUAAGAUCCUACAUCUGUACUACACAGUUAUGCUGAGCAAUGCACAGGUGACACUGUUGCUCAUCAUUGCAGAUCAGAUUAAAUGAAAUUUGCUUCGCCAGGGAUGGAUGCAAGCACUGACCUGUGGAGAACUCAGCCAAUGAAUCUGUCUGUGCACCCCCCGGGUUCUGUCACUGAGAACAAGCCUCCUCUACAUGGGGGUUGAGAGGCCAGAGAAACUGAUGCUUAACACUUACCUGACAAGUACUGUAAGCUGAUUCCUUGUCACGUUCUGACCUUUAUUUCCUUUGUUUUUUAUCGUUAUUUAGUAUGGUCAGGGCGUGAGUUGGGGUGGGCAGUCUAUGUUUGUUUUUCUAUGAUUUUGGGGAUUUCUAUGUUUCGGCCUAGUAUGGUUCUCAAUCAGAGGCAGGUGUCAUUAGUUGUCUCUGAUUGAG
Molecule: long non-coding RNA, 619 nt
Organism: Oncorhynchus tshawytscha (Chinook salmon)
Lineage: Eukaryota; Metazoa; Chordata; Actinopteri; Salmoniformes; Salmonidae
Source: Ensembl